This 440-nucleotide ribosomal RNA is filed under the name uncultured bacterium. RNAcentral describes it as "bacterial SSU rRNA". It matches the Rfam family "Bacterial small subunit ribosomal RNA", at positions 28 to 469 of the family's 1533-position model. The record is from RNAcentral.
GAUGAACGCUAGCGGCAGGCCUAACACAUGCAAGUCGAGGGAGAAGCCCUUUCGGGGGCAGAAACCGGCGCACGGGUGCGUAACGCGUAUGCAACCUACCUUUCACAGGGGGAUAGCCCGAAGAAAUUUGGAUUAAUACCCCAUAAUAUUAUUGGAUGGCAUCAUUUGAUAAUUAAAGCUACGACGGUGAAAGAUGGGCAUGCGUCCUAUUAGCUAGUUGGAGUGGUAACGGCACCCCAAGGCUACGAUAGGUAGGGGUCCUGAGAGGGAGAUCCCCCACACUGGUACUGAGACAGGGACCAGACUCCUACGGGAGGCAGCAGUGAGGAAUAUUGGUCAAUGGUCGGAAGACUGAACCAGCCAUGCCGCGUGCAGGAAGAAUGCCUUAUGGGUUGUAAACUGCUUUUAUAUGGGAAGAAUAAGGCGUACGUGUACGUNGA